Long non-coding RNA from Lineus longissimus, 1300 nucleotides. RefSeq lists it as uncharacterized. The transcript has 3 exons. Lineage: Eukaryota; Metazoa; Nemertea; Pilidiophora; Heteronemertea; Lineidae. The record is from RefSeq and is a predicted model, not a curated record.
CGCACUAUGAGAAACUUUAAGCGAUGAGGUCAGAGCAGUCAUUGUAGUAAGCCGUAGUAAACGGACUGGAGCAGACAAGUUGUCAAAAUGCCGAGUUAUGGACGAGUUACACCCAACCCGAGAGUAUGUCGGAAAUUAUUCGCGGACGAUGGAGAUAUGGAUGCAAUUAAGGAUGCGAAAUGUUCGUUUGAAAAUACGUUUAACAAAAUUCUAGAGGAGGAAAGUUCUAGAGCUAAAUUGCUCUAUAACUUCGACCCGGAUAAUGGUCCAAUGGCCACAACAACUGGAAGAUACAAUUGGGUUGCAAUGAGAGGAGUCGAUGUCCCAUCAUGCUACCUUCACAAACCAAGGGAUUUAUACCCGAAAUAUUCAAACCAGGACAACCAGGAUAUGAUUCCUUUGACUCAGAGUUUGCAGAAACCGUGCGAUAGCCAGUUAAGGGACAGUUCCACAUCUAGUCAGGAUGCCUCAACGUUUAUCCGUCCAGAGAGUUCAGAAAAAACGCCUAGAAAAAUACGUUUAAGGCAGAGCAAAGUAACUGAAUUAAUGAAAAUCUCAAAGCCUAAAAGAUCUCUUGAAACCUCAAAGCGGAAGCGACACACAGACAUCUCAGCAGACGAUAGAAUAGCAAAGCAGACGAGAAUCGGUUUAUCUUAGCAAGGAAUUGCAUAAUCAUAGCAAAGUGUCCGAGAUGCCCGCACAUGGUCCCCAUCAACAGACACACCUGGGAAGACAGGCAACUAGUCAAUCGUGAAGUCGUCUGCUGGCGUCCAAACGUCAACACUGGAGGUCAUGUGACAGGAGUCGUCGUGAUGACGAGAAAGUUUGCCUUUGUUCGGAGAUUUCCGGAAGCAUUCGGAAGUCACUCUCGUCUGCUUCUGCCAAAAGUUGGCUUUUCGUGACAAAAUAUCCGCUGAACGAAGAGAAACAAGACGAGAUCUUUAGGAAGGUACAACGUAAAACAAGGCUGUGUAUUGGCUGAUUUCGCAAUAAUAAUUGCCUGGUUCGGCGAGAGCGCCGCCACAAGAGAACCAUGCUCACUCAUGAUGGAAUUGUUUACCAACGGAAAGGAAAGUAGGACAUUGAUUAUAUAUGCAUAUAAUUGCGAUGUAAACACAAUGGACUUCUUGGAACAGUAAUAUUUUAUUAAUAGUCGUGACAUAUUCUUUCAAUUAUUAUUAGUAUCCAUGGUUCCCAACGGGAAAUUAUUGGCAGUGGAUUCGAAUGAGGCCAAACUUUUUAUGAUAUUAAUUUCAAAUUUACUAAAUAUACUUUAGUUUUUUCUGGUGUUUUUUUUCUU